GAUGAACGCUGGCGGCGUGCCUAAUAUAUGCAAGUCGAGCGAACAGAUGAGGAGCUUGCUCCUCUGACGUUAGCGGCGGACGGGUGAGUAACACGUGGAUAACCUACCUAUAAGACUGGGAUAACUUCGGGAAACCGGAGCUAAUACCGGAUAAUAUAUUGAACCGCAUGGUUCAAUAGUGAAAGACGGUUUUGCUGUUACUUAUAGAUGGAUCCGCGCCGCAUUAGCUAGUUGGUAAGGUAACGGCUUACCAAGGCAACGAUGCGUAGCCGACCUGACAGGGUGAUCGGCCACACUGACACUGAAACACGGUCCAGACUCCUACGGGAGGCAGCAGUAGGGAAUCUUCCGCAAUGGGCGAAAGCCUGACGGAGAAACGCCGCGGGAGUGAUGAAGGUCUUCGGAUCGUAAGACUCUGUUAUUAGGGAAGAACAAAUGUGUAAGUAACUAUGCACGUCUUGACGGUACCUGAUCAGAAAGCCACGGCUAACUACGUG
RNAcentral lists this ribosomal RNA (497 nucleotides) under uncultured bacterium. RNAcentral describes it as "partial 16S ribosomal RNA". It matches the Rfam family "Bacterial small subunit ribosomal RNA", at positions 28 to 507 of the family's 1533-position model. The record is from RNAcentral.